This is a non-coding RNA of Canis lupus familiaris (dog), 105 nucleotides long. Lineage: Eukaryota; Metazoa; Chordata; Mammalia; Carnivora; Canidae. The record is from Rfam.
AGGAGCAACAGCCCUAGUGGCGGGGCCAGCUCUGCAGCCCUGGAGUCAGCUCCGGCAGGAACUCCGGAGCUCUCGGUCUGCAGGGCCUGGAGGCUCCGGGGCGGG